UCAGAAUAGUCGAUCCAUUAUAGAGAUCUCUCAUGAAAAUGCAAAUGCACAUGUAAUGUUGCAUGACACUGUUUCAAACAAGCAUAGAAGUUUACUGGAUGAUUCAUCCACAUUAGAGGAUGGAUCACAGGCUUACGUUACUUAUAGAAGCUGUAUAACACCGGUUAAUGAAGAGAAGUUGUCAGUAGUUGGUUUUGAGG
This 200-nucleotide unclassified non-coding RNA is filed under the name Hevea brasiliensis (rubber tree). The record is from RNAcentral. Lineage: Eukaryota; Viridiplantae; Streptophyta; Magnoliopsida; Malpighiales; Euphorbiaceae.